GUAGGGUGCGAGCGUUGCCCGGAUUUAUUGGGCGUAAAGGGCGCGCAGGCGGCCACGCACGUCCGUUGUGAAAUCGCUCGGCUCAACUGGGCGGGGUCAGCGGAUACGGCGUGGCUGGAGCAAGCUAGGGGGCAAUGGAAUUCCCGGUGUAGUGGUGGAAUGCGUAGAUAUCGGGAGGAACACCAGUGGCGAAGGCGGUUGCCUGGAGCUUUGCUGACGCUGAGGCGCGAAAGCGUGGGGAGCGAUCCGGAUUAGAUACCCGGGUAGUCCACGCCGUAAACGAUGCGGACUAGGUGUCGGGGGUAUCGACCCCCUCGGCGCCGCAGCUAACGCAUUAAGUCCGCCGCCUGGGGACUACSGCKYCAAGGCUA
RNAcentral lists this ribosomal RNA (371 nucleotides) under uncultured bacterium. Its description in RNAcentral is "bacterial SSU rRNA". It matches the Rfam family "Bacterial small subunit ribosomal RNA", at positions 527 to 896 of the family's 1533-position model. The record is from RNAcentral.